ACACAUGCAAGUCGAACGAAGCACUUAUCUUUGAUUCUUCGGAUGAAGAGGUUUGUGACUGAGUGGCGGACGGGUGAGUAACGCGUGGGUAACCUGCCUCAUACAGGGGGAUAACAGUUAGAAAUGACUGCUAAUACCGCAUAAGACCACAGAGCCGCAUGGCUCAGUGGGAAAAACUCCGGUGGUAUGAGAUGGACCCGCGUCUGAUUAGGUAGUUGGUGGGGUAACGGCCUACCAAGCCAACGAUCAGUAGCCGACCUGAGAGGGUGACCGGCCACAUUGGGACUGAGACACGGCCCAAACUCCUACGGGAGGCAGCAGUGGGGAAUAUUGCACAAUGGGGGAAACCCUGAUGCAGCGACGCCGCGUGAGCGAAGAAGUAUUUCGGUAUGUAAAGCUCUAUCAGCAGGGAAGAAAAUGACGGUACCUGACUAAGAAGCACCGGCUAAAUACGUGCCAGCAGCCGCGGUAAUACGUAUGGUGCAAGCGUUAUCCGGAUUUACUGGGUGUAAAGGGAGCGUAGACGGCUGUGUAAGUCUGAAGUGAAAGCCCGGGGCUCAACUCCGGGACUGCUUUGGAAACUAUGCAGCUAGAGUGUCGGAGAGGUAAGUGGAAUUCCCAGUGUAGCGGUGAAAUGCGUAGAUAUUGGGAGGAACACCAGUGGCGAAGGCGGCUUACUGGACGAUGACUGACGUUGAGGCUCGAAAGCGUGGGGAGCAAACAGGAUUAGAUACCCUGGUAGUCCACGCCGUAAACGAUGACUACUAGGUGUCGGGGAGCAAAGCUCUUCGGUGCCGCAGCAAACGCAAUAAGUAGUCCACCUGGGGAGUACGUUCGCAAGAAUGAAACUCAAAGGAAUUGACGGGGACCCGCACAAGCGGUGGA
Molecule: ribosomal RNA, 885 nt
Filed under: uncultured bacterium
Lineage: Bacteria
Description: bacterial SSU rRNA
Rfam family: Bacterial small subunit ribosomal RNA
Source: RNAcentral